UGUAGGAGUGAGCCUGCUCGCGAUGGCGCCAGAUCAGCCAAUAGCUUAUUGACUGACACGAUGCUAUCGCGAGCAGGCUCACUCCUACA
Molecule: unclassified non-coding RNA, 89 nt
Filed under: Pseudomonas koreensis
Lineage: Bacteria; Pseudomonadati; Pseudomonadota; Gammaproteobacteria; Pseudomonadales; Pseudomonadaceae
Source: RNAcentral